GAGAACGCUGGCGGCGUGCCUAACACAUGCAAGUCGAGCGGAGUCGAUCGACGGAAGCCUUCGGGCGGAAGAUGGUUGACUUAGCGGCGGAUGGGUGAGUAACGCGUGGGCAACCUGCCUCGAAGACCGGGGAUAACAGCCCGAAAGGGCUGCUAAUACCGGAUGUGGUCAAAGAUCCGCAUGGAUUUUUGAUUAAAGGGGAAACCCGUUUCGAGAUGGGCCCGCGUCCUAUCAGCUAGUUGGUGAGGUAAAAGCUCACCAAGGCGACGACGGGUAGCCGGCCUGAGAGGGUGACCGGCCACACUGGAACUGAGACACGGUCCAGACUCCUACGGGGGGCAGCAGUGGGGAAUCUUCCACAAUGGGCGAAAGCCUGAUGGAGCGACGCCGCGUGAGCGAAGAAGGCCUUCGGGUUGUAAAGCUCUGUCUGGAGGGACGAAGGAAGUGACGGUACCUCCGGAGGAAGCCACGGCUAACUACGUG
RNAcentral lists this ribosomal RNA (483 nucleotides) under uncultured bacterium. RNAcentral describes it as "bacterial SSU rRNA". It matches the Rfam family "Bacterial small subunit ribosomal RNA", at positions 31 to 507 of the family's 1533-position model. The record is from RNAcentral.